CGAAAGCCUGACGGAGCAAGACCGCGUGAGGGAGGAAGGCUCUUGGGUUGUAAACCUCUUUUCUCAAGGAAGAAUAAAUGACGGUACUUGAGGAAUCAGCAUCGGCUAACUCCGUGCCAGCAGCCGCGGUAAUACGGAGGAUGCAAGCGUUAUCCGGAAUAAUUGGGCGUAAAGCGUCCGCAGGUGGCCGCUCAAGUCUGCCGUUAAAGACUACAGCUUAACUGAAGAAAAGCGGUGGAAACUGAGCUAGCUAGAGUGCGGUAGGGGCAGAGGGAAUUCCCGGUGUAGCGGUGAAAUGCGUAGAGAUCGGGAAGAACACCAGUGGCGAAAGCGCUCUGCUGGACCGCAACUGACACUCAGGGACGAAAGC
Molecule: ribosomal RNA, 370 nt
Filed under: uncultured cyanobacterium
Lineage: Bacteria; Bacillati; Cyanobacteriota
Description: bacterial SSU rRNA
Rfam family: Bacterial small subunit ribosomal RNA
Source: RNAcentral